CGGGAGUAACGCGUGAGGAACCUGCCUUUCAGAGGGGGACAACAGUUGGAAACGACUGCUAAUACCGCAUGACACAUUGGGGUCGCAUGGCCCUGAUGUCAAAGAUUUAUCGCUGAAAGAUGGCCUCGCGUCUGAUUAGCUAGUUGGUGAGGUAACGGCCCACCAAGGCGACGAUCAGUAGCCGGACUGAGAGGUUGACCGGCCACAUUGGGACUGAGGUACGGCCCAG
Molecule: ribosomal RNA, 229 nt
Filed under: uncultured bacterium
Lineage: Bacteria
Description: partial 16S ribosomal RNA
Rfam family: Bacterial small subunit ribosomal RNA
Source: RNAcentral